Molecule: long non-coding RNA, 2720 nt
Organism: Hemicordylus capensis (graceful crag lizard)
Lineage: Eukaryota; Metazoa; Chordata; Lepidosauria; Squamata; Cordylidae
Exons: 4
Source: RefSeq, a predicted model, not a curated record
CGGGUGGGGUGGUUUUUCGUGGGUGCUUUGCAGCUGCAAGAAGGGAACUCUGCAUGGCAGCUCGUCAUGUUUGGCCUACUCAGUGUUUUCGUGGGUGUGUGGAGGCUGAGCCCAGUCGAAUGGGGGUAGCAGCGCGUGUAGCGACUGGUUUGCAGGAGAGGUUAUUUUUCCUGCGAGCCAGCGAGCAUGCGCGCGCCAGCCAUAUGUGCCUGCCCCAUGGUAAAGCGUAUGGCGGUGCUUUCAUUCGCCUUGCUGCAUGAGAGGCUGUGGGCUAGUAGCACGUGGCGGGGCUACAGCAGCACGUAGCACAGGGAUGGUCAAAUGUGGUCCUCUAUUGUUGAACUACAACUCCCAUCAUUCCCAGCCACAACUUGACGACAGCUGGAGAUAGAACCAUGUUGGCCCCCCACUGAUGUAGCAGAACCCUGGGUCAGCACUCGCUCCAGCAGCCCAGAUGUAGACAUGUCCAUGAUCUUGGACAACAGACGUUAAAUAUCAGGAUAUAGACAAAAGGAAGCUGAUCUGGAAAAUGGUGCUUUCUGUAGCUGAGUUUUCUGUGACAUGGUAUGGCUUGAUCUGUGGUAGAAGAUCUUCUGAAUGCUGAUGCUACCUUUAUUUGGCUAAAGAUUACUAGGUAUCAUUCAGCAAAAGGAUUUAUGCAAAAUAAUGAUUUUAUAAAUACAAGUACAUUACAGAACUAUAAUCCCUUUUUAAAUAUGCAUUCAUAUACAAUAAGGCUGUAAGAUUCAAAGAUUUACUGCCGGUGAAUGGAGUAUUAAGAAAGUCACUGUGUGUAUCUAUAAACAGUCUAAAUCUAUUGUUCAAUAAAGUAAGUGGUCUUGGCCCAAGAUAUAUUGUUUUCCCCCUGCAACUUAAAUGCCAAUAUUUUUCCACUUCAGUGUCCAAAUGAUUCCUGCUCUCUUGCCAGAAUAAUAAAGUAAGCUGAAGAGUGAGGACAGCAAAACACACCUCAUCUCUGUCCUUUAAUCUUGGAUAAAUAUGAGCAACAUCCCAAUUUGUUUUUCUACCAAGAGAUUAUGGACUUUUAUGGGAAUAGAAGAGCAGGGAAAUGCAUACAGUAAAAAGUGGAAAAAAUCAGGAGGAAGGACGGAUGGGAUGACCUGAAAGAAUGACUAGAAUUAGGAACAUCAGAAGCUGCCAUAUAUUGAGUCAGACCAUUGGUCCAUCUAGCUCAGUAUUGUCUUCACAGACUGGCAGUGGCUUCUCCAAGGUUGCAGGCAGGAAUCUCUCUCAGUCUUAUCUUGGAGAUGCUGCCAGGGAGGGAACUUGGAACCAAGAUGCUCUUCCCAGAGUGGCUCCAUCCCCUGAGGGGAAUAUCUUGCAGUGCUCACACAUCAAGUCUCCCAUUCAUAUGCAACCAGGGCAGACCCUGCUUAGCUAAGGGGACAAGUCAUGCUUGCUACCACAAGACCAGCUCUCCUCUCCUAAUUGGACACAGAAGAUAUCAUCCAUGAUUCUAGGGACCGUGAUCUAUGGUUUUUGCUGGCCGCCAACCCCCUAAUCAGAGAAGGCACAUGAAGAGAGAGAGAAACAAGUGUACAAACAUUUGGGCUGCAGUCUUGGAAACUGAGUACUUAAACAAAAUGGCUCACAAAAUGUACAAGUGUAUGUGCACUUUUAUCUGAUGUGUGCUGUUGUGCAAAAUAUGGCAAUCAUGGCUACACAAAAUGGUUCUUAAUGAGAUUAAUCUUGUGCAACGGUGACUGCAUUUUUGCACACACAUCAGAAUGCAACAUGCACAAGAGUCAAUGGAAGUCCACCCCUACCAUAUUUUUCAAUGGUUGCCUCACCUGGCUAUCUGUUAACAUAUCCCCCUAGUAGAAUCAAAAUUCUUUGUAUUUUUCUUGCUUUUGUAAACAGUUAAAAACACACAUUAUGUAAUUUUUAAAAUCUAAUUGAAAUUAAUGCAAUGUAUGCAGUCUCUCUGUACCCUUACAUAGGAAGCUGCCUUAUACCGAAUCAGACCAUUGCUUGAUCUAGCUCAGUAAAGUCUACACUGACUGGCAGAGGUUUUCCCAUGUUUCAGGCAGAGUCCCUCCAAACCCUAUCUGGACAUGCUCCCAGAGAGUGAAAUGGGGCCUUCUGCAUACAAAACAGAUGUUCUACCAUUAAGCUAUGGCUCCCACCCCCUAAAGGGAACACCAAUGCUCACAUUGGCCCAUCCAAAUACAAACCUGGGCAGACCCUGUUUAGCAAAAAGGGACAGUUCAUGCUCACUACUGCAAUAGCUGCUCAUGCCAUUUAUCUGUGCACAUCAUAAUGGAGCUGUUCCUGAAAAAUCUAGAACCAACCCAAGACAGGAGACGCCAUUACUUCUCUGUUCUUAAUCUAUUCAAAAAUGGAAGGGCUGAAACCAGAAACCUCUUUAGUGUUGCUCAGAAUUGAUAUGCUGACUCUGGGGCUAGAAAACUCAAAUCAUGUUUUUUUACAGCUUACACACAAUUACAACUCCAGUACACUUUGAUGUAAGACUAUAAAGAUAUGUAUUUUGCAUGGCAAAAUGUUGAACAAGACAACGUACAGUCCAUUGAAAAUGCCACCCACAUAAGCUUCAUUGAACAGAAUGGCCAUCGGCUGUACAUGGCUGCAUGAUUUUUGCUGACACCACAGGAAAAUAAGUUCCACUGAAAUAAAAAAUGACUUUUAUUUUGUAUGUAUGUGAAAAGCAAUGGAAAUAAAGAACAAAGCUGUAUGCCUAA